GAUGAACGCUGGCGGCGUGCCUAAUACAUGCAGGUCGAGCGAACAGACGAGGAGCUUGCUCCUCUGACGUUAGCGGCGGACGGGUGAGUAACACGUGGAUAACCUACCUAUAAGACUGGGAUAACUUCGGGAAACCGGAGCUAAUACCGGAUAAUAUAUUGAACCGCAUGGUUCAAUAGUGAAAGACGGUUUUGCUGUCACUUAUAGAUGGAUCCGCGCCGCAUUAGCUAGUUGGUAAGGUAACGGCUUACCAAGGCAACGAUGCGUAGCCGGCCUGAGAGGGUGAUCGGCCACACUGGAACUGAGACACGGUCCAGACUCCUACGGGAGGCAGCAGUAGGGAAUCUUCCGCAAUGGGCGAAAGCCUGACGGAGCAACGCCGCGUGAGUGAUGAAGGUCUUCGGAUCGUAAAACUCUGUUAUUAGGGAAGAACAAAUGUGUAAGUAACUAUGCACGUCUUGACGGUACCUAAUCAGAAAGCCACGGCUAACUACGUG
This 497-nucleotide ribosomal RNA is filed under the name uncultured bacterium. RNAcentral's name for it is "partial 16S ribosomal RNA". It matches the Rfam family "Bacterial small subunit ribosomal RNA", at positions 28 to 507 of the family's 1533-position model. The record is from RNAcentral.